UUGGCACCAAUCAAGACCAGUUGUUUGCAGUAGCUGCUGGUUUUAAAGGAAGCCAACAUGAACUCCUUCCUGUGGUCUGUUGAUUUCCCUCCACUUGCAAAAGGGAUAAUCAAUUCAGUUGGAAGGGACAAAU
This is a small nucleolar RNA of Dunckerocampus dactyliophorus (ringed pipefish), 133 nucleotides long. The record is from RefSeq and is a predicted model, not a curated record. Lineage: Eukaryota; Metazoa; Chordata; Actinopteri; Syngnathiformes; Syngnathidae.